ACGGAGGCAGCAGCUAAGAAUAUUCCGCCAUGGACGAAAGUCUGACGGAGCGACGCCGCGUGGAUGAUGAAGGCCGGAAGGUUGUAAAAUCCUUUUAAGCAUGAAGAAUAAGCAGUGUAGGUAAUGACAUUGUGGUGACGGUAGUGCUUGAAUAAGCAACGGCUAAUUACGUGCCAGCAGCAGCGGUAAUACGUAAGUUGCGAGCGUUGUUCGGAAUUAUUGGGCGUAAAGGGCAUGUAGGCGGAUAUGCAAGCUUGGUGUGAAAGGCAGGGGCUCAACUCCCGAACUGCGUUGAAAACUGCAUAACUAGAGUGACUGAGAGGCAGGCAGAAUUCCAGGUGUAGGGGUGAAAUCUGUAGAUAUCUGGAAGAAUACCAAUGGCGAAGGCAGCCUGCCAGCAGAUGACUGACGCUGAGGUGCGAAAGUGCGGGGAGCAAACAGUAUUAGAUACCCUGGUA
Molecule: ribosomal RNA, 458 nt
Filed under: uncultured Treponema sp.
Lineage: Bacteria; Pseudomonadati; Spirochaetota; Spirochaetia; Treponematales; Treponemataceae
Description: partial 16S ribosomal RNA
Rfam family: Bacterial small subunit ribosomal RNA
Source: RNAcentral